This 253-nucleotide ribosomal RNA is filed under the name uncultured bacterium. RNAcentral's name for it is "partial 16S ribosomal RNA". It matches the Rfam family "Bacterial small subunit ribosomal RNA", at positions 524 to 776 of the family's 1533-position model. The record is from RNAcentral.
UACAGAGGGUGCGAGCGUUGUUCGGAAUUAUUGGGCGUAAAGGGCGCGUAGGCGGUGCGGUAAGUCACCUGUGAAACCUCCUGGCUCAACUGGGAGCUUGCAGGCGAAACUGCCGUGCUGGAGUGUGGGAGAGGUGCGUGGAAUUCCCGGUGUAGCGGUGAAAUGCGUAGAGAUCGGGAGGAACACCGGUGGCGAAGGCGGCCAGCUGGCGCUGACCUGACGCUGAGGCGCGAAGGCGUGGGGAGCGAACGGG